Molecule: non-coding RNA, 306 nt
Filed under: Beta vulgaris subsp. vulgaris (sugar beet)
Lineage: Eukaryota; Viridiplantae; Streptophyta; Magnoliopsida; Caryophyllales; Amaranthaceae
Description: Bacterial large subunit ribosomal RNA
Rfam family: Bacterial large subunit ribosomal RNA
Source: Rfam by way of RNAcentral
AAUAGGUCAAGUUGACUUGUAACCGGUAAAACAGGUCAAAAAAAAAUUCAAAAUGAUCUUUCUUAUUUCCCCCUCCUCCCCCAAAACCCCCACCCAUUCCGGACCACCUCACGCAAAGUCGUAAGAUCAUGUAUGGGGGCUGAUGCCUGCCCAGUGCUAGAAGGUCAAGGAAGUGGGUGGCCUCCUGACAGGGGAGUCGACGACCGAAGCCCCGGUGAACGGCGACCGUAACUAUAACAGUCCUAAGGUAGCGAAAUUUCUUGUCGGGUAAGUUCCGACCCGCACGAAAGGCGUAACGAUCUGGGC